CGCACAUCGAAGGGUGGGCGAAGCGGAAGCGGUCCAAGCGCCACCGCUUCUUUGAUCACCCGCCCACGGAAGAGGAAUACUUGGCCCUCUGUCUCGUCAUGCUCGCCCGUGAUGGAUCCGGUCAUCGCCCGCCGUCGUUAACCUCCGACUCGGAGGCGGCGCCGCCGCCGGCGAAGUUCCAGUACAAGUGCUCCGUCUGCGGAAAGGCCUUCGGCUCAUACCAGGCCCUUGGCGGGCACAAGACCAGCCACCGGAAGCCCACCGGUGGCGCCGACGAAGCCUCCGUCGCGUCAACGGCGGCCUCGGCCUCGGGCUCCUCCACCGCCGGCGCCGCAUCUGGCGGUGGCAGGUUGCACCAGUGCUCGGUGUGCCUGAAGACGUUCCCUUCGGGUCAGGCGCUCGGGGGCCACAAGAGGCGCCACUACGAGGGAAGCCUCGGCAGCAGUGCCGCCGCGGUGGCGCCGGCGACGUCGGAGGGCGCGAGCUCGAGCCACCGGGGGUUGGAUCUGACCGUGGCGGCGUUGCCCGAGUUCGAGUUCGACGGCGUCAGGCGCUGUCUGGCGGCAGCGGCCGCGGCGACUGCGGCGGCGGAGGAUGAGGAGGUGCAGAGCCC
RNAcentral lists this long non-coding RNA (613 nucleotides) under Musa acuminata (dwarf banana). Its description in RNAcentral is "long non-coding RNA (MACU_LNC000851)". Lineage: Eukaryota; Viridiplantae; Streptophyta; Magnoliopsida; Zingiberales; Musaceae. The record is from RNAcentral.